This 147-nucleotide small nuclear RNA is filed under the name Phlebotomus papatasi. Its description in RNAcentral is "U2 spliceosomal RNA". The record is from RNAcentral. Lineage: Eukaryota; Metazoa; Arthropoda; Insecta; Diptera; Psychodidae.
AUCGCUUCUCAGCCUAACGGCUAAGAUCAAAGUGUAGUAUCAUCCCGGUAUUGAAGGCGUUUUUUCGUGUUUUUCCACGUUUUUGCUGAAGAAAAAAGUGAUCAAUAUUCCAUACAUCAGAAUUUGAGAUUAUCGAUCGCAGAAAAU